This 472-nucleotide unclassified non-coding RNA is filed under the name Zea mays. RNAcentral's name for it is "misc RNA Zm00001eb347650". Lineage: Eukaryota; Viridiplantae; Streptophyta; Magnoliopsida; Poales; Poaceae. The record is from RNAcentral.
CUCUCGUGGUCCUCGCCAGCAGCCGCUCGUGUUGUCGCCCUCCUCCCCGGUGAGCUGCCACGCCCUGGUCCUUGGCAGGUGCGCGGUCGUCUUCCUCGCCGGCGGCCGCAUGCGCUCUCCUCCUUCUCCCCAGCGAGCUGCUGCGCCCAGGUCCUCUGCGGGUGCGCGCUCGUCCUCCUCACCGGCGGCCGCGCGCGCUCUCCUCCUCCCUGGCGAGCUACCGCGCUCGCGUCUUCGACGGCUGCGCGUCGUCCUCGCCGGCGAGCUACCGCGCUCGUCCUCCUCCCCGGCGAGCUACUGCGCUCGCGUCUCCGACGGCUGCGCGUCGUCCUCGCCGACGGUCGGGCGAGCUCGUCCUCCUCCCCGGCAAUCCGACGCGCGUGCUGCUCCUCGUCCCUGGCGCGCGUGCGCUCCUCCUCGUCCCACCCCACCUCUUCUUCUACCUCCAGUUGUUUGCACGGACGACUGCAAU